Humulus lupulus (European hop) is the source of this 6352-nucleotide long non-coding RNA. RefSeq lists it as uncharacterized. NCBI's taxonomy places the organism in Eukaryota, Viridiplantae, Streptophyta, Magnoliopsida, Rosales, Cannabaceae. The record is from RefSeq and is a predicted model, not a curated record. The transcript has 3 exons.
UUAUUAUUAUUAUUUUGGUAAACAUUUUUGUAAGAAAAUUUUAAUUCAGUAGUUGUUUAUUAUGCAUUUAUGUGAAUUUUUGUGAGGGCUUUUCAGUCAUUUUAUGUAUUUUUUGAAAUUUUUUAUUUUUUUGAAAUUUUUUUUAUAAGGAAAUCAAUUCCCAGUAUGCAUGCAGGUACUUGAGUGCAUAUGUUCUAUCACAUUUUUAUCUGCAUCACGUUUUCUCAAUUAUAUUAGUAUAUUUUAUUCAGCAUCACGUUUUCUCAAUUAUAUUAGUAUAUUUUAUUCAGCAUCACGUUUUCUUCAGUGGUGAUAGUUGUUCUUAGUUUUCGUUCUGUUUUAGGGUUUAUUUGAGUUUUUCGUUGUGGAUUUUGUGCCCUCUGUGCGUGUCUUCGUCUCGGUGAGUACCUGGUUUCAGGUAUGUAUUUUCCGUUUGCUUCAGUAUCACGUUUUUUAUAUAUCGUUUGGUUCGAAUUUUUUCUUUCCUUCAGCAUUUGAUUUUUUGUGUUGAUUUCUUCUUUUUUUUCUUUUUCUUAGGAUUUUUAUAAGGUUCUCGUUGUGGAUUUGUGCCUCUUUGUGGUGUUUUCGUAUCGGUGAGUUGAGUACCCGGUUUCAGGGUUUAUUUUUUUUAUUUUUUUAAUGUAUAUUGAUUGUUAAUUUUGCUUUGUAUUAUCUAUUUUUCUGUCGUGGGUGGUUGUUUUUUAAUCUGUGUUAAUUGUGGUUUUUAUUUUUGGUGCACAAUUUUAUCGUUAGUUUUUUAGUGGGGUUUUUGUCAGUUUUUGAUCAGUUUAUUUUUUGGGAAAUUUAUGGGUAGUUAUUUGUAAUUUGUGCUCUAUAUAUAUGUAUAUCUGUUAUUCUUUUUUCAUUUGUGUUGUUUGUUUUUUUUUAUGCAGUGCAUUGUAUAUUUUAAUUUUCGAAGUUCUGUCAUGGAUCACUCUGGAGAAACCGGUGGUGUUUCUGGUUCUGAGAAGAAAAUUUAUGGUAUAGUAGAGGAUGAAUCGAAGAAUGUAGGGGAUGAUAUUGGUGAGAUUCUUCCUCGAAGGAGUAACAUUACACAUUUGAAGUAUGUUGCAAGGAAGAAGAGUAAAUCCCCUUCCUCUGUUGCAAGGAAGACAAGUAAAUCGCCUUCCACUGUUAAACAGACGAAGGAUCCGUGUGCAUCUGGUAGUAAGGAUGCUGGAGAUGGUUCUCAUGAGACUAAACAUGUUGUGGUAUGUGUUUAUUUUUUUAAGUAUUAUAAUAAAAAAUUGUUCAUCUGUUUAUGUUUCUGUUAUUGUGUUUCACAUUCAGUAGAUUCUGUUUGUUUUAUUUUUUUAUGGUUGUGUAUCUGGUUUCUUGUAGAUUUGUAGUUAAUUUGCAUAAUGUUCAAUUCUGUUUUGUGUUUGUUUUAUUGUUAUUGUUGUGUUUUCUUUUGUUGUUAAACUGUUUUAUUUUUUUUUAUACCUGGUUACAUGUGGAUUCUGUUUGUUUUAUUUUUUUAUGGUUGUGUAUCUGGUUUCUUGUAGAUUUGUAGUUAAUUUGCAUAAUUUUCAAUUAUGUUUUGUGUUUGUUUUAUUGUUAUUGUUGUGUUUUUUUUUUUGUUAAACUGUUUUUUUUUUUGUACCUGGUUACUUUGCAGAUAACAGUGAACGAUUUUGCUUGAUGAGUUUUUAACUGGUUACCUUAGUGAAUGAAUUAUUUUUUUUUUAUAUGUAUAUUUCAACCAUACAAAGUUAAAUACAUAUAAGUGGUUUUAUAAAUGUAAAGUACUUAUCAAUUUUUCACGUUUAUAUUUUUUGAAAUUGGUUACAUGUUUAAUUGUUUUGUUUUUUUCUGCAGGCUCAUUUAAAGAUAAACCCCUCCAAGAGGUUUGGUAGUAAGGUUCAACAUUUUAAUGACAAGAGUGUCAUUACUGACUUGAAAUCUAAGUUGGCGAAAAGUCAGAAAUCAUUGUUUAAGAAGACCCCAUUUGGGCACUUUUUAGAAGUAUGUGAUAUUCAUUUUCAAACUCAACUUGCCCAGCUUGUGUUAUUGAGAGAGGUCUCUCAUGAGAGGGAGGAAGAGGAAAUGUGGUUUAAGCUUGGUCGUAGAGUGUGUAGGUUUUAUGUUGAAGAGUUUGCUCUAGUAACGGGUCUUAGAUGUGAUGGUGAUUUUGAUUUAAGUCGUUUUCAAAAAAAGAAAGUUUUGUUUAAGAAAAAAAUAUUUGGCCGUUUUGUUGGUAAGGUGUCAAAGUCUGAAUUACGAAAUGCUUUUAUUAGUAAGGAUCUAGUUGAUGAUGAGGAUGUUGUCAAAUUAGGUAUAGUUCAUAUCUUAGUUAACUAUUUGUACGGCUAUACUAGUGAUAAGUUGGUUGAUGAUUUCUUUUUUGAGAUGGUUGAUCGAGAUUUUUCUGAAUUAGCAAAUAUUAGUUUUGGCAAGUUUGUAUGGGAUAGGAGUUUUCAUUAUUUGAAAACUGCUUUGAAGGGUGGGAAUAAAAUCUUUGAUGGACUGUUCGUUGAUGGGAAGGCUGGCCUUCACCCUUACAAACUUCUUGGGUUUCCCAUUGCUUUUCUUGUAUGGAUAUAUGAAAGUAUAGCUGAGUUGAGUCCUGAGUUUUGUCAACGAGUUGGGAAAAAAUUUCCACGUUUGUUGAAUUGGAAGAGUACAAAUAAUGCCUUCUAUGCAAACUUGGUGGGAAAGGUUUUCAACAAUCAGAAGGUAUAAUAUUUUUGUUUUGUAACUGGUUUCUUGCUAAAUUUGUUUUAUUCAUUUUUAGAUUUGUGUCUGUGUACCUGGUUUCAGUUGAUGGUAACCAGUUUCUUGAUUUUGUAUAUAUAUAUUUUUAAUUUAUUCAGUUGAUUAUCCUGAAUGUCUAUCCGUCUUCUGAGGAGAGAAAGAAACUGGCAGUAAAGAAGUUUAAGUUUGAGCCUCUAUACUUGCCGAAGGUGUGUGCUGAAGAUGGAGACAGUAGUCCGGGUACCCAGGUACUGGUUAGUUUUGUUGUUUGUUUUUGUUAAAAAAAAAUAUUAUUUUGUUUUGAAAUUUAUAGGUUUCUUUUUAUGUUUUUUUUUUUUUUUUUGCUGUUUUGUAAAGUAUUUUAUUUUGUUUUUUUAGGUUGAUAGUGAAAAGUUGAGAUUGAUUUGUGAAUCAAUCUCAUCAAUAAAAGCAUGCCAAGAAACUAUUAUUAGUGACAUUGCAGUUAUGAGAUCUGAGUUUAUAGGGAAACUCAGUUAUUUAUCUGCAAUGAUUGCAAAAUUUGUUGCAAAAAAUUCUGAAAAAGUUGCAAAUACAAGUGAUGAAAGUGCUGGUUUUAAUGAAGGGGAAAAGCCAACUGAUUUUGAUAAUGUUCCAGUCCUAUUUCUGAUGAUUCUAAGGUAACUUGUGUUGUUUUUAUGCUUUUUUUUUUUUUUUUUAACCAUUUUUAGUUGUAACCAGAUUGUUUUUUUUUUUUUUUUUUUGGCUAGGAUUGUGGAAAUGAUUCAGCUAAAGAGUCUGAUGGUAGUAAGGUAACUGGUUUAUGUUUCUUAAUAGUAUGUUGUGUUUUUGUAGUUGUUUAGUGUAACCAGUUACUGUUGUAACCAGUUUCAUUAUUUCUUUUAGGGUGUCGAGAAGGAUUUAAAUGAAAAUUUUGAUGCUGUUUAUUAUGGGUUGGAGUUGUCAAAUGUUGUGGGUGGAGAUAAGGUUUUGUAAUUUAUUUUUGUUUUUGUUUCUUGUAUUAUUUUAUUUAAAAUUGAAUUUGUUGUAAUUGAUUUUAUUUUUAUUCAUUAUAGGAUUUUUCAAAGAAGCCUGAGUUCAGUUCAGUUGGUUUAAGUUUUGAAGAAGUAUAUGUGGAUCCAGAGAUUUUGAGUGUUAUUGAUAAAACUGUUAAGUAUGCAGAAGGAGAAAAUAUAUUUAGUGGGAGUAAGGAUGAUUGGAAAGUUGUGAUGGUUGGUGAUGAUGAUGAAGUUCCUGUUGCUAUUGAAAAGAGGGAGCCUAAACCUAGUACUCAUGUCAAAUCUCCUUUUGUUACUGAGUUUGGUUCUUCUGAAGUAAAAGAAACUGUGAAGAGGAAGGGAGAGGAAGUGGUGAUUGUUAGAGGAUUGCUUCCAUUUGAAGAUGAAAUUGGGAAGAAUGUUUCAAAGAAUGAUUGCCUAGAUUAUAUUUCUUGGAUUGAGGAUAAAAUGAAUUUUAAGAAUAAGAAGAAGAAAUUUUCUGAUGUCAAUAACAUUAUCAAUCCACCAAUGGAUUAUUCUUUUGUUAAAAUUUCUGAGAAGAUGUGAUUUUACAAGCUUCAAACUUGUGGGGAUGACCUUAUGGACACUCAUAUCAAUGUAUGUUUUUAUUACUUGAGGAAGAAGAUUAAGUUGAUUGAUGGUUUGAACAAGAGGGUUACAACUACAGACUCUUGGUUUGAUGCAACUAUCAAGAGUUUGUAUGAUAACUUUGUGGCAGUCAAAUGUGAUUCAAGCAGCAUUCGUUUUGAUAACCUCAUUUCAGAUUACAUUAUUGGUGAAUAUUUGUUUUGUACACUCCUUGGGUGGAUGUGGAUCAUGUUCUUUUUCCUGUGCAUGUGAAGGUUCAGUUGCAUUGAGUUUUUAUUCACUUUUCCAUUAAGAGUAGAAUGUUAACUGUCUACAAUUCUUUGACGGGAAAGAAGAAUGAGAGUAUUGCUUUGCCAUAUGUGAAGGCUUAUUCUGUUGUUUUACCAUAUUUUCUAGAUUUUCUUGUUCUAGGAAAGAUUUGGACUUGAAUGUUGGUCCAUAUUCUGUUGGGAAGAAGGAUCCAAUUGAUUUUAACUUUGCCAAAGACUUGUCAUUUCAAGAGGAUAAGUAAGUAACUGGUUUUUGUAUAUUGUUGUUUAUUUUUCUAUUUUGUUUGUUUUUAAAUAAUUUCAUAUGCUGUUUUUUGUCUCUUUUUUUUUUUUUUGCAGUGAUUGUGGAGUAUUUUUUAUCAAGUAUGCUGAUUUGUUUAUCCAUGGGAAGAUUGAUGACAUCCCGAAGAACAUGGCUGCCAAAAUUGCUACCUAUCGUGAUUAUCUUGCCAUUAACUUGUAUAGUCAUGCAAAAAAGAAGCAGAUUGGUGGGUACAAGACAGAAGAUGAUGCUCCAUCAAAGAAAUCAAAGAGGAGGAGGAAUUAUAAGUAGAGAUGUUGGAGUUUUUUUUUUAGCUGUAUUAACGACCAUGUCUUUUUUUUUUCUUUGUUUAAUAGUGAAGUUGUGGUUUGUAACUGGAUACUGUUUUAGUACUGGACUUAUGUAUGGUUUUUUUUUUUUUUGGUCAAUGUAAAGAAUUGGUUUCAACUUUUGUCUUAAUAUAAAGUUUUUUUUAAUGUAUUUUAUUUUAAUGUGUAUGAUUUUUUUUUCAAUAGAGUUGGUGAUUUUUUUUUUUAAAGUGUGAAGAUAUUGUUAUGUACACGUUUUUUUUUCAAAUAGGUUUCGAUUAUUAUUGCAUGAAGAUGGUGUAACCGAUUACUUCUGUGUUAGAUUGUAAAAGCUAUAUGUUUCAGGUAACUGGUUACUGUUUAUUUAGUUUUUAUUUCUAUUUUUUUAAUUAUUUUUUUAUUUAUUUAUGUUUGUUGUGUUUUUUAUUGUGUGAACGGUUUGUGAUUAUAUAACUAGGUUUUUUAAGUAGUUGGUUUUAUUAAUAUAUAGUUGUUUAUUAAAUUUUCUUAUAGUAACUGCUUUUUUUUUCUUUUCUAUUUUUAUGUGUUGUAACCAGGUACUUGAAUUUUCAAAUUUUGAAUAUCUUAUGUUGGAACCUAGAAGUUGAGUAUCAAGUUUAUAAUAUUUAUGUUUUUUUUGUUUUUUGUGAAAGAUUUGUGGUUAUAUAAUUAGGUUUUUAAUUCGUUGGUUACAUGUAUAUGUAGUUGUUUGUUAAAUUUACUUAUAGUAUCUGUUUUUUUUCUUUCUAUAAUAUGUGUUGUAACCAGGUACUUCAGUCUCCAGAUUUUGAAUAUCUUUGUGUUUGGAACCAUGAAGUUGAGUAUCAAGUUUAUAAAAUGUAAAAUGUUUAAAAAGUUUGUACUUUUAUUGAAGUAGAAAACAUUAGGAUACAAUUUUAAUACAUCAAAUGAAAAUAUUGAAAUUGUAGUAUAUCUAUUCUUUAGAACAUUAUUUGUCUAUUUUCUUUGACUUUGUUGGGUUUCGCAGCUUUGGGAUUGGUUCAUUCCUGCAUGUUUUUCUAUUAUGCCCUUGCUGCGCGCAUCUUCCACAUUUUAUUUGCACCUUUGGUUCUCCUUUAGAUCUGAUUCUUUUCCUUCUAGGGCGGCCUGGUGGUUUUCUUGAUUUUGGUGGUAGGACAAUUAUGUUUAAAGUCUCUGGCAGUGUCCAUUCGCUUUCAUUUGGCAAUGGAUGAACAGUUGAGUCAUAUGGUGCUUUCAUAGUUGUAGUUUUGUAGUAAUCAGCAACAUAAUCAU